UACGAAGGGGGCUAGCGUUGCUCGGAAUUACUGGGCGUAAAGCGCACGUAGGCGGCUUUCUAAGUCGGGGGUGAAAUCCUGGAGCUCAACUCCAGAACUGCCUUCGAUACUGGAGAGCUCGAGUCCGGGAGAGGUGAGUGGAACUGCGAGUGUAGAGGUGAAAUUCGUAGAUAUUCGCAAGAACACCAGUGGCGAAGGCGGCUCACUGGCCCGAUACUGACGCUGAGGCACGAAAGCGUGGGGGAGCAAACAG
This 253-nucleotide ribosomal RNA is filed under the name uncultured bacterium. RNAcentral's name for it is "partial 16S ribosomal RNA". It matches the Rfam family "Bacterial small subunit ribosomal RNA", at positions 524 to 775 of the family's 1533-position model. The record is from RNAcentral.